This 301-nucleotide ribosomal RNA is filed under the name uncultured bacterium. RNAcentral describes it as "partial 16S ribosomal RNA". It matches the Rfam family "Bacterial small subunit ribosomal RNA", at positions 509 to 809 of the family's 1533-position model. The record is from RNAcentral.
CAGCCGCCGCGGUAAUACAGAGGGUGCAAGCGUUAAUCGGAAUUACUGGGCGUAAAGCGCGCGUAGGUGGUUUGUUAAGUUGGAUGUGAAAGCCCAGGGCUCAACCUGGGAACUGCAUCCAAAACUGGCAAGCUAGAGUACGGUAGAGGGUGGUGGAAUUUCCUGUGUAGCGGUGAAAUGCGUAGAUAUAGGAAGGAACACCAGUGGCGAAGGCGACCACCUGGACUGAUACUGACAAUGAGGUGCGAAAGCGUGGGGAGCAAACAGGAUUAGAUACCCCGGUAGUCCCUGUCUCUUAUAA